Molecule: long non-coding RNA, 7582 nt
Filed under: Vitis vinifera (wine grape)
Lineage: Eukaryota; Viridiplantae; Streptophyta; Magnoliopsida; Vitales; Vitaceae
Description: long non-coding RNA (VVIN_LNC002618)
Source: RNAcentral
CUUCAUGCAAUCUUAAUAUGAUGUUACACGCUUUAUUUGAAUUAGUCUGACUUGAUGGGAUAUACUGGAAAGUUUUAAUACGUUAAUCUAUUUGUUCCUUAAAUGAUUUUACCACAUUUUUCCUUGUUCGGGUAGUGUAAUACUUGUCAACAGGUGGUUUAUGUGGCAGUUAGGAUGUAGUGUUGAUAACUUAAGAAGCUAAAAUUGGUAUUAAUGGUUUGUUAUUGAAGCAGAGGAGAAAUUAUAUUGGUUAAUAAAUGUGUUUUACUCACUUUUUGGAAGUUUAUUUUGUUUGUCUCCUUUAGUCGAUGAAACGGUGGAAGAUGGAGACCAGAAACUUUAGAGGAUUGGAGUUAUUGAUGGUAUUCAAAAUUGAAAUCCACUUGCUCUCCUUUGGAGUUAUAAGGUUUUUGAAUGCAAAUCUAGCUUUAAAGUAUGAGGGAGAGAGUUAGUGUUUUAAAAGGCUAUCGAGGCUCACCGAAAGGGAAGGCUUUGCAAAUUUGCCUUGUGGCUAUAACCUCAAUUAGGGUAAUUGAGGCUUAAGUCUCACUUGUCGACACUUAAAGCUUCCAGGCUAUAGUCUCAAAUAUCCAAAGGAUUUUCGGCCUUUGUGAGCUUUUGAUAUAUGUUUUAUAAGACUUAAGCGUCAAAUUUCGAUUAGUGUUAAUGGAUUCUAUUAUCAUCUAUGCUUUGUGGGUUUUUGAUAUAAAUUUCAUGAGUUUUGUAUUGUGUCCCAACUUGGUUAAACCUUUUAUGAAAUAAGGGUUUAGUUGACUUCCAAUUAACUGUUUGAAUGAAAGGGAAAGAGAGAUUGAGUCAUGAGAAGAAGGAAUUGGGGGAAUCAUUAUAUUAAUAAUGAUGAAUAAGAAAAAAUACCAUUGCAGAUGGUGGAUGAAGGGGUAAAAUGGGUGGACAUUAACAUUGAUAGGGAGGAUAAUAUAGCAAUUGGAUAUCAUUAUAUUCCUUGGAGUGUCCUAGUAGUGAUAGUGACUUGCCAUUGAAAAUUAUUUGAUAAAAGAGCGCUAAAAUUUAGAAUAGAGAAAAAGGAACUUUAUAAGAGACUAUUAACAAUGUCAAAUAAUUCAUUUUAUCAUUAUGAGGUUCAUGCCUUUUUUUAUUAUUCAAUUUUCUUGUGACUUUAUGAGUAUUUUUCUGAUUUUUGAUAUAUUUUUUUAAUUAUUUAUUUGUUUAAAUUGAGGCUUGCACCUUGCCUCAUUUGGACAAAACGCUUUAAGUCUGCCUUUAGCCUUUUAAAACAUCUCUACUAGUUAAUAUGUCAGAACCUAUUUUAUAGAGAAUAUGGUUGUAAAGGAAAAACCAGAUGUAAUAAAAGAAUCAGUCGUGGUAGCAACUCUCCUUGUUAUACUUACUGAGAUUAAUCUUCCAAGUUAUGCAAUUCUUAGUGUAAACAUUUAGAUAAAUAAUCGACAUGAAUGUUUCUUAUAAAUUAUAAUAUUGGAGUAUAUGUUAUCUACUGUGUGUCCUCUAGCUUCUGAGGACCUGCCAUGUUGAGGUACCCUUGUAGAGUUCAAGUCUCAUGUUUGUGUUUGUUAUUCUGCAUAGUGCUUGCUGCAUGUCACCCUAAUGGUCAACCACUUACUCCAAUAUGAUAUAAGAAAGCAUUAAUCAUAUCCUAUUCAUUGAUGGGCUAUCCUUAGGAAAGAGCUAUUUUAGUCCAUUUGAGGUGUGUUGCUUAGAAUGGUGAUCCUGUCUGAGGCUUAUAUAUAUAAUCCCUCCAAUGGAGAAGAUCAUUUGUGGGAAUGAUUUUAUUUUAUUUUCUUGGUACUUGGAGUUGGGGGCUGGUAAAUGUUGCAAGAGUCAUGGGAGUGGUGUUAUCAGGAAUUCAAAUUUUGAUUUGGAAAUGAUUGUGUUGGGGAGUAGGAUUUACAAAUGAGACACCAUCAAUCAGAUUUGAGAGUAAUAUGUGUAUAUGUGUUUAAUACAUGUAUAUAUGUUUGGUUCUUUAUUUAUUUAUUUUUGAAAAUUCAUGGAAUGUGGUGAAUAAAGGGAUAUUUAAGGGUUUUGGUCUGGACUCUUCAAGGAGUUACUUAGGUUGGUGGUGUGAUUUCAUGUGAAUGGUCUCACUUUCCUUAAAAGUGCAGGGGUCUUAAUGAAGAUACCUUUUUUUCCCUCACGCUCCAUGAAACACAGUGCUGGAUUCUUCUUGAUUUAUUGUUAUCUAUGUACUCUGCUUGGUUCGAUGUUAUGUAUGUACUGUGCACUACAUCUAAUGAUAAUUCAGUGGAGAGGGUGCUCCAUUCUUAUGAUUUGAUGAAUCUAGAGCUGUAUAUUGUGUCCCUUUAACUCCUCUUUUGCUCUUCCUUCUAUAAUGAGUCAUCUUAUUGCAACUAAUUGCUUAAAUUGGUCAUUAAACCUCAAAAUAAUAUUCUGAUUUCCUUUUCUUUCAAGCUCCUCGCUAUUAUGAAAUGAAAAUUAGUUAAAUACUAAUACUAAUGCUAAGCUCAAUUAUGGUAUAGACAAGUGGACCAGCGGACUCAUCUUCACAUGGCAAUCUUGUACAUGUUUGUGCCUCGAUUAACCAGAUUAUCUAGGUGAAACAAAUAAGCAUUCUCCUAUUCAUAGACCAGUUAAGAACUCUUUUUUGUUAUGUUAGAUUUGUUAGUCAUCUUUGGAUGGCUGAAAUACAAUUUGUGUUUUCUUGUACAUGCUUAGUUUCAUUGUUUCUUGAGAUGAUUAAGUAUUAAAUAGUUGUUGAUCCAGCUAUUGUUUGAACAUUUAAUUAAUGAAGGUUAGGACUGCUAAUUGAACCAAUAUACCUUUUACCUUUUACUCAUUGGUAUCUUUGAAGAAUCAAGAUUUUUGUUUCUCUUUGUUUGCAGGUUCCAUGUUGUGGCCUAUUUGCAGCAAAUCUGGUGGUUUGAAGUAGAUGGGGUAGUCAAGUUCCAUUUUCCAGCUGAUGUCUAUACUCUAUCUUUCAGGCUUCAGCUAGGAAGAUUUUCCAAAAGGCUGGGGCGACGUGUGCCCAAUUUCGAACACACUCAUGGUUGGGAUAUAAAGCCAGUACGAUUCCAGUUGUCUACUUCAGAUGGUCAGCAAGCAUCAUUUGAGUGCUGUUUAGAUGAGACUGAACGUGAAGAUGCAAAUGGAAACCACAAGCGUGGGUGCUGGAUAGAUUAUAAGGUAGGAGAAUUCAUUGUCACUGACUCAGAACCUGCCACUGAAGUAAGGUUUUCCAUGAAACAGAUUGAUUGUACACAUUCCAAAGGUGGGAUUUGUGUAGAUUCUGUAUUUAUUAUCCCCAGUGAUUUGAGAGGGCGAAAAAGAAGAGGAGUUUUGAAGAAGCCAUGAACUCAAUGGGCAUGUUGUUCAUGUAUUGUCAGUGAUCCCAGGAGAUCCUAUUGGGGUUUAUCAUAAAAGCUUUUACUUCUGAAGGCUUUUCAUGUUUUUAGAGGAUAUCUUGGUAAUUGGUUUUGGGGAGUAGGUACGUGUCCUAUAUGGGUCUGUAAUUUUCCCUUAUAUGUAUUUUUUUUUUUAAGUUCGUUUUCAUUUUACACCUAUGCAGAAAAGAUUUAAGAGAGUAUGUUUUGGUUUCAUAAUGGUGCUUUUUCAGGUGCUUUCUCCUAGGCAUUUUGUAAAUUGGCUGAGGUGCAAAUAAGGUAGAAGUCAUCCUUAUUUGUGGUUUCAGUUGUAUCAUUUUUGUGAACUCCGGGUUGCCAAGGAUGCCGGAGGUUCUUUGUUCUAGGUGAAGUGAAAUGAGGUGAUGGACCAUAGGGUGUUUUAGCUACUUCUUAACCCAGGUGCUGUGUUUGAGAUUUGUUAUUGGCUAUGAGGGGUUUGUGCUCACUCUCUUUUGGUUGCCUCCCAUCUUUUGCCCUGUUGAAUAAUUCAGUCAUGAGCAAACCUGCUGUGUGCUUGUAGAACUCUGUGCGGAAACAAUAAUUAAAGAAGCCUGUGUCAUUGGAUUCAUUACAUUAGGAACUAUUGUAGGUUUAUUGCUGGAGCAAGAUUUGCCAACAGUGCCCCUUCAUUGAGCUUGUCUCUCUAUAACUGCUACACACAUCGCUAGUCUACCCAUGGACUGACUUUGUUUUCGUCUGUGGACCAUUUGCAUUCAAAGGGAUGUGUGGGAUAUGGGGAUUUCGAGAGAUACAAAUUAGUAAGAAGAAGAAUAUAAUGUAAGAUCUGUCUUUUGUGGUGGUGUCAAUCUAAGCUAUAUAUAUAUACAUAUAUAUAUAUAUAUAUAUAUAUAUUUUGAGGGUUAUUCAUUUGGUUCUCAUCACGUGGAUUUUUAUCCUCGCAAGGUGAAUAUGGUUAAUAGGUGUUUGUGCAGAUUCACGUGUUGGCACUACCUCAAUUGAACACAUGUUCACGUGGUACUUGUUUGUGUUCCUGCUUAUGAGGUGCUCUGUCUUGAUAGUGGAUGAACACAGCCUUUUACUCAUGUGGUAUUUGGGCCAGCGAAUGCGGACGGAUCAUCCCUCUAAUCACGCAUGGACGGUUCCACAGGGAAUGGAGUUUUUAUUUAUUUGUUAUUUAUAUUUUGCCUUGAGAGGCACUAGCACUGGGGUUUAUGUGGUUCAAAUUUGUUAUUUCCUUCUUCUCAUUGUGCUGUUUUUCUAAUUUCUUCAAGAUGGUUUUGCUGGCUCUCCGCAUGUGCCCCUGCUCUAUAAAUGUGUGGUUAGUAACCGAAUCCAAACUGUGCUCUGGAUGCUCAUGCUCAAGCUGUAAUUAACUAAUAGGAGGUUUCGCUAGAGGGCAUCCUCUCAAACCUCAACCCCCUGCUUUGAGAAUUAUAUCUUACAAUGUGACCCCAGUUGACUUUUAGUGAUUGGAAGUGGCUAAUUAUUUGUAAUUCUGUAUCUUAAACCGUUACAGGUUUCUCAGCACUGGAUCCCUCAUCUCCCUCCACUGCACUUUAUUUCUGGGAGAUAAAACACCUUGUGAAUAUGACUCAAUUCACUGCUACCAUCAAUCAUCGCAAAUUUUCUACCUCAGUGUACAACUCUCUUUACGAGCAAAGCUGGGUUUACAUGUACGGAUCUCUGGCUGCUUUACAGGUAAGUGGGAUCUCAGUUCACUUGACAUUGUCUCGCUUUUCUAGCGCCCAAUAUGACUCUCUAGGCACACCUUCCCUAGCUUCUAUCCGUGACCACGUAUCACGCAACCGUAAUGCAUCAGGGUCGCACUCACCUGUCAAUAUAUUAUUAUAUUGAGAAGGAUAAGUCAAUGUUCUAAUACGUACGUACAUUUGAAAAAAUGGACUCUGAUAAAUGGUACAAAAUUGUUAAUUAGUAUUUGUUGGGAGAUUCAACAAAUAGGAAAAUUAUAAAUAAAACUGAUGGUUAUUUAAAUGAGUUGUCUUAUUACAGAAUUUUAAAAUCAUUGUUUUCACCUUGUAUUUCCUCUCACUUUUCUACUUUAUUUUCUUUUCGGGCAACUUUAUAGAACUAAAGCGCACUUACGGAAAAGUAUUUAUGAGUGCGCGGGUGGAUGUGUGUGGGCGCGCAACCUUAUUUAACGGUUGGUGCCUGGUGGGUUGGUGAAUGAAUAUGUGAGUCCUGUGUGCUGGUGGUGCUAAUGGCUAGUUCUGAACAAACUUUUCGCUUGAGUUUUGGUUUUAGCUACUUACUAUAUCGUGCCAUAUUCCACUCUUUAGCCCAUCAACAACCCUUUACUAUUCAACUUUAUGGUCCCAACCAGCCCUGUUUCCUUCUUCAAAAAUAACUAAUAAGUGCAUGGCUUUCAAAAUAUGUAGAACAGGCGCCGUACGGCAGGAAUAGAAUGGUCCAAAACGUAGCUUGUGGGAAGUAAUAAAUGGUCCAAACAUAAUGAAUUUCCGUGAACUAUAAGUCUAUAAGGCGAUUCCCAUCUUUUCCCAUAGUCGGCACCACCCAAGAUGUAACGGGGACUGGCUCAUACCAUUUAUUCACGCUACAUUUAUUUCUUCUCAGUAUUUCCUCCAAACUUAAAAUUUCCAAUCAGGACCCCACUUCAUGAUUCAUGAUUAAACUGAAAAAAGAGUAUGCAAUUCAUUGAACAAAAAUAUUCAGGAUUAUGCCUAAAAAAUGUGUAUGCAAGUCACUUAAAUUAAGUGAGAUAGAUAGUGUGAGUGGUAUGUAGUUUUGAGGUACUGCUAAAGAAAUUUCAACUGAAAGGAGGCAGAGUUUAACUGAUAAAUGUGGGUAUGAUAUAGUGUAUGCAGAGGUUGAAAUUCGUUGAAGCUUUAAUUCUCCUAUCUUUUACAGCUUUCUCACCUCUGUUUGAGCAGUUGGUUAAAAAGUGACCCUUCCUAAUUGCUACAUCGUGUGGUACAGUACGGUCAGUACAGCCAACCGACACCCAUAUCAAACAUUAGAACUCCUAAUCUCCCUGUUUAUCAAACAGCUAAUCUCCCUGUUUAUAAACAGCAAUGGGUUCGUGAGGGAGUUUUAAGAAUCUCGCAAUAAAUGAUUAAAGUCCGGGCGUUUAGGUUGGAAUUGGAUUGGUUCUUCAGUCGAUGCUUUGUUUCUGAUGCCAGCCACCCAAACCCACAUCAAAUCCAAAUAAAAAAAGUCCUCUGUCGUGGCCAAACCUUACGUACACUUUAAAUUUGAAAUCUGUGUUAGCAGAGUGCAACCAAUAACGUGGCCAAUUACUGACCAGCUACUACUCAGGGUUCAUUGCUACACAUUCCUUUCUCUUUCUAUCAUAUUUCCAUCCAUCCUACGAAUUUUGUAGGCAUUAGGUUACUUGGAUAAUGAUGGUAGAAGCAACAUUAUUUCUUUGUAAAAAAAAAAAAAAAAAAGUUUUGAGAAGACAAAAGGUGGAUAAGUUAGAAGUUGAUUUCAUUCACCUUGUAAAAUGCGUUAAAAAUAAUUUGAGAAGUUCAUGUCAAAGCCUUUUCAGUCAUUUACUAAAUUUUUAUCCCGUACUUUUUCCCUCAGGUAAAAGUUUUAGCCCUAGAGAUUGAAAAUUCAAAGGCAACUAAGAGGAAGUCUGAAAGCGUAAAUAAUUUAAGCACAAAAUUCAGAAAUUAAACUAGUUUCUAUUUCCAAGAAUCAACUAGGAAGUGUAGUUAGCGUCAAUGCAGAAAUGAGCUGUUAAUUAAAUGCAAGAAAAGAGCAAAAUUGAUUAGGGGAGAGAGGUGAGGCAAGACUGAAAUACGGAAGCGCGCAGCUAAGAGCUCUGUCUCAUCUUUUUCAGUCUCAUUAGCGCCAUCAUCACUCCAUGGGGAGUCGACGGUCCUCUCUCCUUUCUCUCCCUUUCUCUCGGGGGCCUCCCAUAUGGCCUGUUACCGUUUUCCAUUCCCCCUUCCCUUUCUUUUUCCCUUUUUAUUUUUUUCUGUAAUUAAUUAAUUAAUUAAUUAUUUUUUGGGAAUGAUAACCCCUUAUAUAUAUCAUGGACACACUCUCUUAGACCUGACCAGCGUCAUUGAAUGCAAUUCAACUAUCCAUCUAGGGAGGGGAGAGAGGGAGAGAGGGAGAGAGAGAGGUGUUCAGCUUUCUUCUCUGCCAGUGCAAAGUUAUUGAGGAGGGGGGAAACAGUAGGAUGAGGGGCUUCUUCUUCUUUAAUUUGUCCAUUACUGGGUGCAGCAGAAGGAGGUGGCAGGUUGUGUGUACAUUGUAUGUCACCUUAAGAAGGC